GUGGACACGGCGUCUUAGAAUUAUUAAUUUUUUGUGUUUAUAAUCGCGAAAAUAGGCGAUUUCGUUUUGUUUUUGCGACGCUCGCCACCUCUUGUCAGUUGCUUUAGAUGUGGAACAGCAGUUGGUUGUGGUCAAGUUUUAGCGUCAGCUCUUGUAGGCGCUCGUCGAUCUGGAUUUUGAGAGUAGCAGGAAGGAUGGAUUUUGCAGCUCCGCGCUGGGUGCCCUGGUCAGCAGCUUUUGUGGCCCGUCUUUUGCAGCGCUGCAUUGCAGGUAGAUUGCAUCGGUGAUGAGGGAUACUGUCAGGGACCGUGUGGCGAGAAAGUUCAGGAUCGGCUGGAGUGCGUUGUCUUGGGCUUGUUCAUCCGGGUGCGUUGAGGAAAAUUAAGCUGAGUCGAGGAAGGUGGUGACCGUGCACGAGUUUGGGAGCUGACUGGAGUGCGCUUUUCCAUCGGAUAUAGAUAUCGUUAAUAUAUUUAUAAAUAGAUGUAGAUUUAAUUGGAUGUGUCCAUGUCCAGAUUAUUGUUUCUUCCUUGUAUGAUUAAGGCCAUUAAAAUGUCAAUUUUCUUCUCUAAGUUGUCGACUCUAUUAGCUAGGUUUGUUGUGUGGUCGUCCGAGAAGCCUUUUUGUAUGUAUGGAUUGGAGUUUCUUGGCGAUGGUGUGGCUACAUCAAUAACUCUUGGUUUGAAACUAGCUCUGGCAGCUCUGCUGGUGGUCGGAGGGCUGUCAUUGCUAGCUUGCAUGGGAUUUGAGUUACCUUUUU
This is a long non-coding RNA of Drosophila sechellia, 760 nucleotides long. RefSeq lists it as uncharacterized. The transcript is spliced from 4 exons. Lineage: Eukaryota; Metazoa; Arthropoda; Insecta; Diptera; Drosophilidae. The record is from RefSeq and is a predicted model, not a curated record.